This 3667-nucleotide long non-coding RNA is filed under the name Brassica napus (rape). Its description in RNAcentral is "long non-coding RNA (BNAP_LNC016831)". The record is from RNAcentral. Lineage: Eukaryota; Viridiplantae; Streptophyta; Magnoliopsida; Brassicales; Brassicaceae.
GUCAGGUCGUCCCAAGCUGUACAAGAACGCCACAACGGCGAAGCGUCCAUCUUUGCUCUGAUGAACCAUGUGUUCCUCGAGAACAAACCUAUGUAUGAACAUGUUGGGUUUUUCCCUCAUUAGCCCAAGACCCAAGAAGCCCAAGAAGAAGAAGAAAUAUCUAGAGAAAAAUGGAGAAGGAUGAAGAAGUGUGUAGAAAAGGAAGUGUGUAGAAGAUGAAGUGUGUAAAAGAUGAAGUGUGUAGAACUAACUUGUAGUCUCCACUUACUAGUAUAAAUAGGGGUGCUUAGCACCAUUUGUAAUCAUCCAAGAAUCAAGAAAAACAAAGAGAGAAAAUAUUUGUAAGAGAGAGUUUCCAAAAACAAAAUCUUUGUAGUAAACCCUUUCCUAAAUAUUAAGAGUCUUCUUCUUAAAUUUUCUAGUUGUCUAAUACCAUCUUCAUCUCAUCGAUAUUGGAUAAUUUUCCCAACAGCUGGUAUCAGAGCAAGGUUACCGUUAUCUUUGAAGAAGUGAAGAUGGAGGCCACCGUUACCUUUGAAGGUGACAUGUUCAAGCUCACGACGGACAACUUCUCUUAUUGGAAACCGAUGAUGGAAGAUCACCUUUAUUGUAAGGAUUUGCAUGAGCCCAUCAUCAUGAAGGAUAAGCCGGAAGGAAAGGAUGAUAAAGCAUGGGAGAUUCUUAAUAGAAAGGCGGUUGCCGUAAUCCGUAAGUAUGUCGACCGAUCUCUUUUUGAACAUGUCUCUACCUACACAAAUGCUUUUGAAUUAUGGACAAAACUUGAAUCCAUGAUUCAAAAGAAAACACCUCGAAACAAAGCUCUUCUUGUUCGACGGUUGGUAAAGUUGGAGUACAAGGAUGGCCAGAGCAUGAUGGAGCACUUGAACAAUUUCAAGGGGAUUGUAAAUCAGCUUAACAAAGUUGAUAUGAAGGUUGAAGACGAAAUGCAAGCCCUUUUACUCCUCAGUUCACUGCCGGAGAGUUGGGACACACUAGUUGUCACUCUAAGCAAUUCAGCACCGGAGGGAAAGCUUACCAUGGACACCGUCACUGAUAGCCUUCUAAACGAAGAAGUUCGCAGGAAGGAACGAGGUUCGAGUUCAUAUUCAGAAGCUAACAUUGUUGAUAGACGAGGUAGAGAAGAGACUCGUGGUCAAAACCGAAGCAGAGGACGAGACCAAUCUCGAGGAAGAUCCAAGUCACGUCCGAGAGUUACUUGCUAUUACUGUGGCAAACAGGGUCACAUGAAGUCGGAAUGUCGGUUUUUCAAGAAAGACAAACAAGCUGGUAAUAUCAAACCAGACCGGUUCAAUCCUACAAAGAAGCAUGAAGAAAAGACUACCACCAUUGUGGAAGACCAGAGCGAAGAGGCGAAGGGGAUCCAAUCAUGGAUCCGAAUGGUGAUGAAGGUGAAGAAGAAGUUCAAGUGGAGCCAGAGGAAGAACAUGAGCCAAGAAGGUCUGGAAGAGAGACAAGACCAUCUGUAAGAUAUUAUCGAGAUGAGUACGUUAAUCUUACAGAUGAGGGGGAGCCUCAAAGCUAUGAGGAGGCCAUAGGAGACACCCAUAAAGAUAAGUGGGUUGAAGCUAUGCAAGAUGAAAUGCAAUCCUUGCAUGAUAAUCACACUUAUGAGCUGAUGAAGCUACCAAAAGGAAAGAGAGCCUUGAAGAACAAGUGGGUGUAUAGGUUGAAGUAUGAAGAUAGAAGCUCAAAUCCAAGAUACAAAGCUCGAUUGGUUGUGAAAGGAUUCAACCAAAAGAAAGGCAUAGAUUUUGAAGAAAUAUUCUCUCCAGUGGUGAAGAUGUCCUCUAUCCGAGUGGUUCUUGGUCUAGCAGCAGUUCUAGACUUGGAGAUUGAACAACUCGAUGUCAAGACGGCCUUUCUACAUGGUGAACUCGAGGAGGAGAUCUAUAUGGAGCAACCUGAAGGAUUCAAGGUUCCAGGAAAAGAAGACUUGGUGUGCCGAUUAAAGAAGAGUCUUUACGGUCUCAAGCAAGCCCCAAGACAAUGGUAUAAGAAGUUUGACUCCUUCAUGGUGGAUCACAACUUCAAGAAAACCAAGAACGAUCAUUGCGUUUUUAUAAAGAGGUACGAAAGCGGCGACUUUCUCAUAUUAUUACUCUAUGUUGACGAUAUGUUGAUUGUGGGCCAAGAUCGCAACAAAAUAGCCGCAUUGAAGAAUGACCUAGGAGAGUCCUUUGCAAUGAAAGAUUUGGGGCAAGCGAGACAGAUUCUUGGAAUGAAAAUCACUCGGGAUAGACCAAAGAAGCUUUUGUGGUUAUCCCAAGAACGAUAUGUUGAAAGGGUGUUGGAGAGAUUCAACAUGAAUAAGGCAAAGCCAGUGAACACUCCACUUGGUGGACAUUUCAAGUUAUGUUCGGAGCAAAGUCCAACAAGUGAGAAAGAGAAAGAAGAAAUGAAGACUACCCCAUAUGCAUCAGCAGUAGGCAGUCUCAUGUAUGCUAUGGUGUGCACCAGACCGGACAUUGCCUAUGCAGUAGGAGUUGUGAGUCGCUUUCUAGCGAAUCCAGGAAAGGAGCAUUGGAAAGCAGUUAAGUGGAUCCUACGCUAUCUACGAGGCACAACGAAGAAGUGUCUAUGUUUUGGCAAUGGAAAAUUGGAGCUGAACGGUUACACCGAUGCAGAUUGGGCUGGUGAUAAAGAUUCAAGGAAAUCAACAUCAGGAUUUGUGACUACCUUUGCAGGGGGAGCUGUUUCCUGGCAAUCGAAAUUACAAAAGUGUGUUGCCUUAUCCACAACGGAAGCGGAGUACAUCGCAGCAACGGAAGCAUGCAAGGAGAUGCUAUGGAUGAAGAACUUCUUGCUUGAGUUGAGAGUAAAGCAAGACAAGUACAACAUGCUAUGUGACAACCAAAGUGCUAUUCACUUAGCAAAGAAUCCAACGUUUCACUCUCGCUCAAAGCACAUUGAUAUCCGACAUCACUGGAUCCGAGAAGUUCUGGAAGAGAAGCUCAUACAUCUCACAAAGGUACACACCGACGAAAAUUGGUCAGACUUUAUGACCAAAGUAUUACCGAUCAAGAAGUUUGAAGAUUGCUGCAAAGGCACAGGCAUGGCGACUGUUUCGGGCUAAAUCGGGAAGGGGGAGAUUUGUUGGGUUUUUCCCUCAUUAGCCCAAGACCCAAGAAGCCCAAAAAGAAGAAGAAAUAUCUAGAGAAAAAUGGAGAAGGAUGAAGAAGUGUGUAGAAAAGGAAGUGUGUAGAAGAUGAAGUGUGUAGAAGAUGAAGUGUGUAGAAGAUGAAGUGUGUAGAAGAUGAAGUGUGUAGAAGAUGAAGUGUGUAGAACUAACUUGUAGUCUCCACUUACUAGUAUAAAUAGGGGUGCUUAGCACCAUUUGUAAUCAUCCAAGAAUCAAGAAAAACAAAGAGAGAAAAUAUUUGUAAGAGAGAGUUUCCAAAAACAAAAUCUUUGUAGUAAACCCUUUCCUAAAUAUUAAGAGUCUUCUUCUUAAAUUUUCUAGUUGUCUAAUACCAUCUUCAUCUCAUCGAUAUUGGAUAAUUUUCCCAACAGAACAUUAUUCAAUCAUUGCAUGCGUGCUAUCACAUCAAAUAAGCCCUCGAGACAUGUAUACUUUUUUUAACAGUGACAUAACCAUUCUCACAAAUAUGAUUACAGUAUAAUAAACAUGUACACGAGUAGAGAAACC